GGGAUUGUAGCUCAGUGGCAGAGUGCUUUCCUCACACGUAUGAGGCAGGGUUCGAUUCUCAGCACCA
This 67-nucleotide transfer RNA is filed under the name Marmota monax (woodchuck). Its description in RNAcentral is "tRNA.Val". Lineage: Eukaryota; Metazoa; Chordata; Mammalia; Rodentia; Sciuridae. The record is from RNAcentral.